Molecule: ribosomal RNA, 576 nt
Filed under: uncultured bacterium
Lineage: Bacteria
Description: bacterial SSU rRNA
Rfam family: Bacterial small subunit ribosomal RNA
Source: RNAcentral
CCUACGGGAGGCAGCAGUAAGGAAUAUUGGUCAAUGGACGCAAGUCUGAACCAGCCAUGCCGCGUGCAGGAUGAAGGCCCUCUGGGUUGUAAACUGCUUUUAUAGGGGACGAAAAAGGGACUUUCUAGUUCAACUGACGGUACCCUAGGAAUAAGCACCGGCUAACUCCGUGCCAGCAGCCGCGGUAAUACGGAGGGUGCAAGCGUUAUCCGGAUUUACUGGGUUUAAAGGGUGCGUAGGUGGGUCGGUAAGUCAGCGGUGAAAUCUUCAAGCUUAACUUGGAAACUGCCAUUGAUACUAUCGAUCUUGAAUCAUCUGGAGGUAAGCGGAAUAUGUCAUGUAGCGGUGAAAUGCUUAGAUAUGACAUAGAACACCAAUUGCGAAGGCAGCUUACUACGGAUGUAUUGACACUGAGGCACGAAAGCGUGGGGAUCAAACAGGAUUAGAUACCCUGGUAGUCCACGCCCUAAACGAUGGAUACUCGACAUACGUGAUAUACUAUGUGUGUCUGAGCGAAAGCAUUAAGUAUCCCACCUGGAAGUACGAUCGCAGAUUGAAACUCAAAGGAAAUUGAGG